CACGCCGCGUGAGUGACGAAGGUUUUCGGAUCGUAAAACUCUGUUGUGAGGGAAGAACAAGUACCAAUUAACUACUGGUACCUUGACGGUACCUCACCAGAAAGCCACGGCUAACUACGUGCCAGCAGCCGCGGUAAUACGUAGGUGGCAAGCGUUGUCCGGAAUUAUUGGGCGUAAAGCGCGCGCAGGCGGUCCCUUAAGUCUGAUGUGAAAGCCCACGGCUCAACCGUGGAGGGUCAUUGGAAACUGGGGGACUUGAGUGCAGAAGAGGAAAGUGGAAUUCCACGUGUAGCGGUGAAAUGCGUAGAGAUGUGGAGGAACACCAGUGGCGAAGGCGACUUUCUGGUCUGUAACUGACGCUGAGGCGCGAAAGCGUGGGGAGCAAACAGGAUUAGAUACCCUGGUAGUCCACGCCGUAAACGAUGAGUGCUAAGUGUUAGGGGGUUUCCGCCCCUUAGUGCUGCAGCUAACGCAUUAAGCACUCCGCCUGGGGAGUACGGCCGCAAGGCUGAAACUCAAAG
This 521-nucleotide ribosomal RNA is filed under the name Planococcaceae bacterium AT06-01. RNAcentral's name for it is "bacterial SSU rRNA". It matches the Rfam family "Bacterial small subunit ribosomal RNA", at positions 393 to 906 of the family's 1533-position model. Lineage: Bacteria; Bacillati; Bacillota; Bacilli; Caryophanales; Caryophanaceae. The record is from RNAcentral.